GCUUAAAUAGUUUAGACUAAAAUAUUAAUUUGUGGAGUUAAUGACGUAUUUAUGUACUUUGGGCA
RNAcentral lists this transfer RNA (65 nucleotides) under Scolytinae sp. BMNH 1274287. RNAcentral describes it as "tRNA-His". The record is from RNAcentral. Lineage: Eukaryota; Metazoa; Arthropoda; Insecta; Coleoptera; Curculionidae.